This is a long non-coding RNA of Solanum stenotomum, 1128 nucleotides long. RefSeq lists it as uncharacterized. The transcript has 3 exons. The record is from RefSeq and is a predicted model, not a curated record. NCBI's taxonomy places the organism in Eukaryota, Viridiplantae, Streptophyta, Magnoliopsida, Solanales, Solanaceae.
UUUUUAAUAUUAUGACUAUAUAUAUAACAUACAAAAUAAAAAAAUAUUAAGACAGUUUAUUAUGAAUCAAUUUUGAACCGCACAUAAAUUUUGUUUUAAAACCAUCUGAAUUAAGAUAUCAAAGUAGGCUGAGUUAAUAAAAUUAGCAGGUCAUUAGCUCAUCUAAAUAUUAGUACUAUAAAUUGGACGAGGACUCAAUUGCCGCUUCUAGUGUUGUACAAGUACUCUAUUGCAAUUAAGUCAAAACUAUAUUUAUAUAAAAUAAGAGACGUAAGAACUAAGAAGAGAAAGCAGCAGAAUAGCCACUUUCGGCCACCGCAAACCCGUUUACAGUGUGAGGUGCAAAUGCAAUGGGCUCCGAUGCCGCUGACUCAAGGGUACAUUACUCUAUAUUUGCAAGCCUAUGUCCAUCGGCUUCUCCAACACAUAUUAAAUACUUAAGAUGGAGGUGAAGAUGAGGAAUAUUAUGAUAUCAUGCAUUUAUAUGAGUAGAGCGAGCUAUUUCCGUAUGCAACUUGUCUUCUUAGUCCUCCAUUCAUGCAUGCUCUAAUUCCUCCUCUCGUAGUCUCUGACAUCUUGCUUGGUCAAGUAUUGAUGCAGAUAUUAAACAUCUGAGACCUUGGUGGUUCAAUUCUAUUUGUUCCUCAAGUAGUUGAGAGAGUUCAGUGGGGACAAGGAUCAAAUAUGAAGUGAAAAAAUAAUAAUAGGGCACGCGUAAAGCAUUUAGAAAGACGAGGAUGGCAAUUGCUCCCAACAAAACAAUGUAAAUCCACCACUUGAGAAAAAAGCACAGAAUAGAUAUCUUGGAUUCACUGAGGUAACUCUUUCACUUCCAAGUUAUUUAGAUCCACACAAGGAAAAUAUGUUUUAGCCUUAGAGACUAGUUUUAUUUAUUUAUGAACAUCUACUGCUGGUUUUAUACAGUUCUCUCUUUCUUUAUGAACAUCUACUGCUGGUUUUAUACAGUUCUCUCUUUCUUUAAAGCCUUAUGAAAUGUUGGAUUAAUUGCAAUAGUUGAGAAUCUCCACAAAGUGGAACUAUCAGCCUUGAUAAGGAUUUGGUUUUUAUGUGUGCUUACUGAUUGGAUGGCUGUCCUAUUAAAUUUUUCACAUUUCACAUAUUAUGUCA